GGAGGGGUGGGUGAGUGGCUGAAACCAACGGUUUGCUAAACCGUCGUAGGGGUCAAACUCUACCGAGAGUUCGAAUCUCUCCCCUUCCG
RNAcentral lists this transfer RNA (89 nucleotides) under Ignavibacteria bacterium. RNAcentral describes it as "tRNA-Ser". It matches the Rfam family "tRNA". Rfam says of the family: Transfer RNA (tRNA) molecules are approximately 80 nucleotides in length. The record is from RNAcentral. Lineage: Bacteria; Pseudomonadati; Ignavibacteriota; Ignavibacteria.